UUUUUUAUGAUGGAAAAUAAAAAAGAAAGCUUGAUCAAAGUUGAUGAUUUUUAUGCUAUUUCACCAAAAUCUCGGAAGAA
RNAcentral lists this small nucleolar RNA (80 nucleotides) under Plasmodium falciparum 7G8. Its description in RNAcentral is "small nucleolar RNA snoR17". It matches the Rfam family "small nucleolar RNA snoR17". Lineage: Eukaryota; Apicomplexa; Aconoidasida; Haemosporida; Plasmodiidae. The record is from Rfam by way of RNAcentral.